GAGCAGGUCUGUCCGAGCGUCUGCCAACCAAAUGCAUUGUCACCAUACGGUGACAAGAGUGAGGAGCUGCGCCACCUGGUUACACUGCACUCCUUGAAAAUGUGCAACACCACAUUGUGACAAGGCAGAGAAGACAGUCGUCACUAUAACAGGUUGUUUCGCCUCGUUGAGCCUGCAACUUUGUGUAACCAUCUGGACCUCGGAUCAGG
RNAcentral lists this unclassified non-coding RNA (209 nucleotides) under Luffariella variabilis. RNAcentral's name for it is "sequence contains 5.8S rRNA gene, ITS2, 28S rRNA gene". The record is from RNAcentral. Lineage: Eukaryota; Metazoa; Porifera; Demospongiae; Dictyoceratida; Thorectidae.